This 497-nucleotide ribosomal RNA is filed under the name uncultured bacterium. Its description in RNAcentral is "partial 16S ribosomal RNA". It matches the Rfam family "Bacterial small subunit ribosomal RNA", at positions 28 to 507 of the family's 1533-position model. The record is from RNAcentral.
GACGAACGCUGGCGGCGUGCCUAAUACAUGCAAGUUGAGCGCUGAAGGUUGGUACUUGUACCAACUGGAUGAGCAGCGAACGGGUGAGUAACGCGUGGGGAAUCUGCCUUUGAGCGGGGGACAACAUUUGGAAACGAAUGCUAAUACCGCAUAAAAACUUUAAACACAAGUUUUAAGUUUGAAAGAUGCAAUUGCAUCACUCAAAGAUGAUCCCGCGUUGUAUUAGCUAGUUGGUGAGGUAAAGGCUCACCAAGGCGAUGAUACAUAGCCGACCUGAGAGGGUGAUCGGCCACAUUGGGACUGAGACACGGCCCAAACUCCUACGGGAGGCAGCAGUAGGGAAUCUUCGGCAAGAGACGAAAGUCUGACCGAGCAACGCCGCGUGAGUGAAGAAGGUUGUCGGAUCGUAAAACUCUGUUGGUAGAGAAGAACGUUGGUGAGAGUGGAAAGCUCAUCAAGUGACGGUAACUACCCAGAAAGGGACGGCUAACUACGUG